This 253-nucleotide ribosomal RNA is filed under the name uncultured bacterium. RNAcentral's name for it is "partial 16S ribosomal RNA". It matches the Rfam family "Bacterial small subunit ribosomal RNA", at positions 524 to 776 of the family's 1533-position model. The record is from RNAcentral.
UACGAAGGGGGCUAGCGUUGCUCGGAAUUACUGGGCGUAAAGGGCGCGUAGGCGGCCGAUCAAGUCAGAUGUGAAAGUCCUGGGCUUAACCUGGGAAUGGCAUUGGAUACUGGCGGACUGGAGUGCGGUAGAGGAUGGCGGAAUUCCCGGUGUAGCAGUGAAAUGCGUAGAGAUCGGGAGGAACAUCUGUGGCGAAGGCGGCCAUCUGGACCAGCACUGACACUGAGGCACGAAAGCGUGGGGAGCAAACAGG